Long non-coding RNA from Triticum aestivum (bread wheat), 346 nucleotides. RefSeq lists it as uncharacterized. The transcript is spliced from 3 exons. Lineage: Eukaryota; Viridiplantae; Streptophyta; Magnoliopsida; Poales; Poaceae. The record is from RefSeq and is a predicted model, not a curated record.
UUACUAUGUACAAAUUCAUCUGAGUGAAUUGUUCCAGCUUUUCAAUCUGCGCGAGCUCGACAAAUCUAUCAUCAGUUGCUACGUUCUAAUGAAGAUUAAGAAAUGCAGAGUAAGGAAUAUCCAUGAUGUUGGGUUCAUUGACCCACACAUCGUUAAUGGAUAUGUGUUGGAGCAUCACCCCGCCGACAUGGAGGCAGACCUGUGGCAGUUUCUUACAAAGCAGGAACUUAAAAGUGAUAUUCUAUUUCCUUACCAUUUUGGGUUCCACUGGAUUCUGCUAGUAAUUAAAGUUGACACCGCAGAAUGUCUCGUCCACGACUCUCUGAAUAAGGAUCCAAAGCUUUGG